This is a long non-coding RNA of Brienomyrus brachyistius, 309 nucleotides long. RefSeq lists it as uncharacterized. The record is from RefSeq and is a predicted model, not a curated record. Lineage: Eukaryota; Metazoa; Chordata; Actinopteri; Osteoglossiformes; Mormyridae. The transcript is spliced from 3 exons.
GUCUCAUCGUAGAAGUUCGGGUCAUAGGGCUGAGCGCGGCCUUUGAUGGGAGCCUGCAGCAAUGCAGACAGGAUGAGCAGAUAAAGGGUUAGAGCACAUGCAGGAGAUAAAGGGUUAGGCUUAGAGCACAUGCAGGAGAUAAAGGGUUAGGCUUAGAGCACAUGCAGGAGAUAAAGGGUUAGGCUUAGAGCACAUGCAGGAGAUAAAGGGUUAGGCUUAGAGCACAUGCAGGUGAUAAAGGGUUAGGGCACAUUUGGAUAAAGGCAGGAAAGAGAGAUCCAGCAGCACAGGUAUGAUGGACACUUAAGG